Molecule: unclassified non-coding RNA, 214 nt
Filed under: soil metagenome
Description: partial contains 5.8S ribosomal RNA, internal transcribed spacer 2, and large subunit ribosomal RNA
Source: RNAcentral
AACGCACGAGACCUGCGGACCUGCGGAAGGAUCAUUAUCGAGUUUACAACUCCCAAACCCCUGUGAACAUACCUAUCGUUGCUUCGGCGGGAUCGUCCCGGCGCCCCCGGGCCCGGACCCAGGCGCCCGCCGGAGGACCCAAACUCUUGUUUUUACGGUGUAUCUUCUGAGUGACACGAGCAAAUAAAAUCAAAACUUUCAACAACGGAUCUCU